UGUUUCAAUUUGGAAUCUGUCAUUCGCACACAAAAUUAUUUAUUGUGUUUUCUCAUCUUCGUGUUCAGGUGAUAUUAAAACACAGUGAGUGAUAAACAGAACCAAAUUGUGUUAAUAGCACACCAAGCACAGAAGCAGAUACAGGAGGAAAAUGCAAUUUUGUAAACUCUCCAUUCGAUGUAUCAAUCGAAUGUUAGCAUACUGGGUUAUUGAGAGCAUCUGCGUCCCGUAAUAGUUUUGCUUAAGAACAACUAUUUAAAUAAAAAAUAAUGCAAGCUUGUACAAAACGAGGCCAAGUUUUGUGGGCACGAAAAACAUUUGCGCACGUUGUCUUUUGUAAAUGUAUGCGUAUGUAUGUAUGAAAUGUAUGAUGAAAGGGAUGAGUACGUUAGGUUUACCACAUUCAUUUAAUGUUGCCGUUUUACGAGUAAUAGGUUGUUGGGUUUUCUUGAAAUUUGAAUUUAUUUUUAACUAUUCAAGUUGAAAUAAUGUAUGUAUGUGACAGCUCGAAAAUAAAAAAGUUUUUUAUUUA
Long non-coding RNA from Bombyx mori (domestic silkworm), 532 nucleotides. RefSeq lists it as uncharacterized. NCBI's taxonomy places the organism in Eukaryota, Metazoa, Arthropoda, Insecta, Lepidoptera, Bombycidae. The record is from RefSeq and is a predicted model, not a curated record. The transcript has 2 exons.